RNAcentral lists this transfer RNA (69 nucleotides) under Ictidomys tridecemlineatus (thirteen-lined ground squirrel). RNAcentral describes it as "Spermophilus tridecemlineatus (thirteen-lined ground squirrel) tRNA". It matches the Rfam family "tRNA". From Rfam's summary of the family: Transfer RNA (tRNA) molecules are approximately 80 nucleotides in length. Lineage: Eukaryota; Metazoa; Chordata; Mammalia; Rodentia; Sciuridae. The record is from Rfam by way of RNAcentral.
GGAGUUGUAGCUCAGUGGUAGAGCACUUGCCUCACAGGCAUGAGGCCCUGGGUUUGAUCCUCAGCACCA